GCCGGGGUGGCGGAAUUGGUAGACGCAAGGGACUUAAAAUCCCUCGCAGGUUGCACCUGUGUGCGGGUUCGAGUCCCGCCCCCGGCA
RNAcentral lists this transfer RNA (87 nucleotides) under Candidatus Peregrinibacteria bacterium. Its description in RNAcentral is "tRNA-Leu". It matches the Rfam family "tRNA". Rfam says of the family: Transfer RNA (tRNA) molecules are approximately 80 nucleotides in length. Their secondary structure includes four short double-helical elements and three loops (D, anti-codon, and T loops). Lineage: Bacteria; Candidatus Peregrinibacteriota. The record is from RNAcentral.